Molecule: long non-coding RNA, 368 nt
Organism: Triticum urartu
Lineage: Eukaryota; Viridiplantae; Streptophyta; Magnoliopsida; Poales; Poaceae
Source: RefSeq, a predicted model, not a curated record
AGCAUUAAGGGUGAGCCACGCCUCUUUCUCCUUCCCUUAUCCAUUUUCCUUUCUUCUAGCCAUGUUCGUCUCAUUUCUUCCCCAAAUCUGGCAGGGAUAGGCCACCGCUGCCGCGAUUGCAGCCGAAGGCGAAGGGCGGGAGCGCGGGAUCCGCAUCUCGUCACCGGCGCAGACCAAAAAUGGUUGUAGAAGGAGAUGCGGCUCCUAGUGAAGGAGAGGGAUCUGCAAACCAUUCUUCUAGAUAGAACUCGAAACGACCCAUCGAGCGGCAGACGCGUCGUGUUGAUAUCGACGGGGUGGCAGAGGAUGAUGAGGCAAGUAUCGAGCAACCAGUGUGGGUGCAUGUCACUUUUUUGCGCGCGCACACA